AUUGAACGCUGGCGGAAUGCUUUACACAUGCAAGUCGAACGGCAGCACGGGGGCAACCCUGGUGGCGAGUGGCGAACGGGUGAGUAAUACAUCGGAACGUGCCCAGUCGUGGGGGAUAACGUAGCGAAAGUUACGCUAAUACCGCAUACGAUCUACGGAUGAAAGCGGGGGACCGGAAGGCCUCGCGCGCUUGGAGCGGCCGAUGUCAGAUUAGGUAGUUGGUGAGGUAAAGGCUCACCAAGCCGACGAUCUGUAGCUGGUCUGAGAGGACGACCAGCCACACUGGGACUGAGACACGGCCCAGACUCCUACGGGAGGCAGCAGUGGGGAAUUUUGGACAAUGGGCGCAAGCCUGAUCCAGCCAUUCCGCGUGCAGGACGAAGGCCUUCGGGUUGUAAACUGCUUUUGUACGGAACGAAAAGGCUCUGGUUAAUACCUGGGGCUCAUGACGGUACCGUAUGAAUAAGCACCGGCUAACUACGUGCCAGCCGCCGCCGUAA
This 500-nucleotide ribosomal RNA is filed under the name uncultured bacterium. RNAcentral's name for it is "partial 16S ribosomal RNA". It matches the Rfam family "Bacterial small subunit ribosomal RNA", at positions 30 to 523 of the family's 1533-position model. The record is from RNAcentral.